RNAcentral lists this long non-coding RNA (461 nucleotides) under Camelus dromedarius (Arabian camel). Its description in RNAcentral is "lncRNA (ENSCDRG00005015154.1)". The record is from RNAcentral. Lineage: Eukaryota; Metazoa; Chordata; Mammalia; Artiodactyla; Camelidae.
GUCGGGGGGCGGGGCCGUAGGACGUCCGCGGCGCCCUAACACGUCACUAAGCUCGCGACCCUGGAUUGUACAGCGCGGCUUCCGUGGACCGUUCCUCCGCGUGAUGAGGGGACAUGGCGGCUCCCUUUCCAGUGACCUCAAAAGUCGGCAGGCAGCAGCAAGGUGGCCUGGAUGGGACUGUGGGAAAUAGACUUCCAGGCUGUGGACACUCAGCGGCUCAGAUACGUCUUCCCCUAGAAUGGCAACAUGGAUCGGAAGGGCCAGCAGGCUACCUUAGAAGUUACUCAAGGAUCUCCUCGGAAAGCACACCUCUUUAAUCCAACUGUGAAGCAACAGGGGGACAGGACGCCAGGCUUUUCCUUCCUCUCACAACGUUCUGCUUGAUCAACUCGACACCUUACGUGGAGGCGGCGUGGCUCAACACCUGCACCUGUGAGGACUUUGUAGCGCGUGAACCCUGC